Molecule: unclassified non-coding RNA, 700 nt
Filed under: Hevea brasiliensis (rubber tree)
Lineage: Eukaryota; Viridiplantae; Streptophyta; Magnoliopsida; Malpighiales; Euphorbiaceae
Source: RNAcentral
CCGAUGUGUACAAAACUGCUAGGUUAGGUCUCUUGGCCUUGGAUUUACGUUGCACAGUUAAUUCCUUACUGUCACAACACUCCUUUCUGCAAUGGCCGAUGAGUCCAAUAGAACUGCGUUUUUAGAGAUUCAGAGUCGCAUGAUCGAAACUACUGCCAAAUUGAAGCAGGUGCAAAACCAGAUGCGAACCAAGGAGGGAGAAAAGAAGCGUGCUUACUUGACAUUGGAGGAGUUGCGCCAACUGCCUGACGAUACAAAUACUUACAAAUCUAUAGGGAGAACGUUUGUCUUGGAGCCAAAGUCUGUUUUAAUGAGUGAACAAGAACAGAAGCUAAAGGAUAGUGAGAAUGCAAUAGCCUCACUGCAGACCUCAAAGGAAUACUUGGAAAAGCAAAUGGCCGAGGUAGAGAACAACUUGAGGGAGCUUUUGCACCAAGAUCCAGGUCUUGCUCGUCAGAUAAUGUCCAUGAGUGUAAUGUAAGUUUGCUGCUUUCCCCAACUUAGUACAAUGUGUUUUACAUUUGAAGGGAAGUUGUAAGUUAUGAUAAGAAAUGUGUUGAAAUUUCUGGAAUGAAUGCUCAUGUAAUUGCUUUUCUGGAUAGUUUAAAUUGUCUGUAAUUUAGGUUAACCAGGCUUUUCUCUCUUAUAUGAUGGUAUGGUAUUUUUUUUUGCAGACAAUUUAAACUAUCCAGAAAAGCAA